GAUGAAGAACGUAGCGAAAUGCGAUAAGUAGUGUGAAUUGCAGAAUUCAGUGAAUCAUCGAAUCUUUGAACGCACAUUGCGCCCCUUGGUAUUCCAUGGGGCAUGCCUGUUCGAGCGUCAUUUGUACCCUCCAGCCCUGCUGGGUGUUGGGCGUUUGUUCCGCCGCGCGCGUGAACUCGCCUCAAAUGAAUUGGCAGCCAGCCGUCCCGCGUGGGAGCGCAGCACAUUUUGCGCUCUCCGCUGGGUGCGGCGGCGUCCACAAGCCUAUACCUUUACGCUUGACCUCGGAUCAGGUAGGGAUACCCGCUGAACUUAAGCAUAUCAAUAAGCGGAGGA
Molecule: unclassified non-coding RNA, 336 nt
Filed under: soil metagenome
Description: partial contains 5.8S ribosomal RNA, internal transcribed spacer 2, and large subunit ribosomal RNA
Rfam family: 5.8S ribosomal RNA (bases 1-120)
Source: RNAcentral